UCAGUGGUGAAAUCCUUCCGCUUAACGGGAGAACGGCCAUUGACACUGUUAGACUUGAAUUAUUAGGAAGUAACUAGAAUAUGUAGUGUAGCGGUGAAAUGCUUAGAGAUUACAUGGAAUACCAAUUGCGAAGGCAGGUUACUACUAAUGGAUUGACGCUGAUGGACGAAAGCGUGGGUAGCGAACAGGAUUAGAUACCCUGGUAGUCCACGCCGUAAACGAUGGAUACUAGCUGUUCGGAGCAAUCUGAGUGGCUAAGCGAAAGUGAUAAGUAUCCCACCUGGGGAGUACGUUCGCAAGAAUGAAACUCAAAGGAAUUGACGGGGGCCCGCACAAGCGGUGGAGCAUGUGGUUUAAUUCGAUGAUACGCGAGGAACCUUACCAAGGCUUAAAUGUAGAUUGACCGGUUUGGAAACAGAUCUUUCGCAAGACAAUUUACAAGGUGCUGCAUGGUUGUCGUCAGCUCGUGCCGUGAGGUGUCAGGUUAAGUCCUAUAACGAGCGCAACCCCUGUUGUUAGUUACCAGCGAGUCAUGUCGGGAACUCUAACAAGACUGCCAGUGCAAACUGUGAGGAAGGUGGGGAUGACGUCAAAUCAUCACGGCCCUUACGCCUUGG
RNAcentral lists this ribosomal RNA (617 nucleotides) under uncultured bacterium. RNAcentral's name for it is "bacterial SSU rRNA". It matches the Rfam family "Bacterial small subunit ribosomal RNA", at positions 588 to 1212 of the family's 1533-position model. The record is from RNAcentral.